Molecule: non-coding RNA, 243 nt
Organism: Pelobates cultripes (western spadefoot toad)
Lineage: Eukaryota; Metazoa; Chordata; Amphibia; Anura; Pelobatidae
Source: the annotation of a GenBank genome assembly
CUAGAAGUCUAGGAAAUCCCCAUCUUGAGAAAAUGUGUGUCCAUAAUGCUUCAGCCGUUUUUUGUGAAUCAUCUUUAGUCAGAGGAAUUACUUCUAACCAUUUAGAGAAUACAUCCACAACUACUAAUGCAUAUUUUAAUCCAUUCUUACCUGUUGGUAAUGGCCCAAUAAAAUCAAUUUGUAAAGUAGUCCAAGGACCAUUUGCAGGUGCUAUAUGUUGUAUAGGUGUUUUUUGUCCUUUAG